Molecule: ribosomal RNA, 499 nt
Filed under: uncultured bacterium
Lineage: Bacteria
Description: partial 16S ribosomal RNA
Rfam family: Bacterial small subunit ribosomal RNA
Source: RNAcentral
GACGAACGCUGGCGGCGUGCCUAAUACAUGCAAGUCGAGCGGACUGACUGGGAGCUUGCUCUUGUUCGGUCAGCGGCGGACGGGUGAGUAACACGUGGGCAACCUGCCCGCAAGACCGGGAUAACUCCGGGAAACCGGGGCUAAUACCGGAUAACACCGAAGACCGCAUGGUCUUUGGUUGAAAGGCGGCGCAAGCUGCCACUUGCGGAUGGGCCCGCGGCGCAUUAGCUAGUUGGUGAGGUAACGGCUCACCAAGGCGACGAUGCGUAGCCGGCCUGAGAGGGUGACCGGCCACACUGGGACUGAGACACGGCCCAGACUCCUACGGGAGGCAGCAGUAGGGAAUCUUCCGCAAUGGGCGAAAGCCUGACGGAGCGACGCCGCGUGAGCGAAGAAGGCCUUCGGGUCGUAAAGCUCUGUUGUGAGGGACGAAGGAGCGCCGUUUGAAGAAGGCGGCGCGGUGACGGUACCUCACGAGGAAGCCCCGGCUAACUACGUG